RNAcentral lists this ribosomal RNA (253 nucleotides) under uncultured bacterium. Its description in RNAcentral is "partial 16S ribosomal RNA". It matches the Rfam family "Bacterial small subunit ribosomal RNA", at positions 524 to 776 of the family's 1533-position model. The record is from RNAcentral.
UACGAAGGGGGCUAGCGUUGUUCGGAAUUACUGGGCGUAAAGCGUAUGCAGGCGGUUCGUUAAGUCGGGGGUGAAAUCCCGAGGCUCAACCUCGGAACUGCCUUCGAUACUGGAGAGCUCGAGUCCGGGAGAGGUGAGUGGAACUGCGAGUGUAGAGGUGAAAUUCGUAGAUAUUCGCAAGAACACCAGUGGCGAAGGCGGCUCACUGGCCCGGUACUGACGCUGAGGUGCGAAAGCGUGGGGAGCAAACAGG